GUGUCAGCAGCCGCGGUAAGACGAACCGUGCGAACGUUGUUCGGAAUCACUGGGCUUAAAGGGCGCGUAGGCGGUCAAUCCAGUCGGGGGUGAAAUCUUGCAGCUUAACUGUAAAAGUGCCUUCGAUACUGAUUGACUCGAGGGAGGUAGGGGCAGGUGGAACUUCCAGUGGAGCGGUGAAAUGUGUUGAUAUUGGAAGGAACGCCGGUGGCGAAAGCGACCUGCUGGAUCUCUUCUGACGCUGAGGCGCGAAAGCUAGGGGAGCAAACGGGAUUAGAUACCCCGGUAGUCC
This 292-nucleotide ribosomal RNA is filed under the name uncultured bacterium. Its description in RNAcentral is "partial 16S ribosomal RNA". It matches the Rfam family "Bacterial small subunit ribosomal RNA", at positions 505 to 796 of the family's 1533-position model. The record is from RNAcentral.